Molecule: ribosomal RNA, 253 nt
Filed under: uncultured bacterium
Lineage: Bacteria
Description: partial 16S ribosomal RNA
Rfam family: Bacterial small subunit ribosomal RNA
Source: RNAcentral
UACGUAGGGUGCGAGCGUUGUCCGGAAUUAUUGGGCGUAAAGAGCUCGUAGGCGGUCCGUCGCGUCGAAUGUGAAAACCCGGGGCUCAACCCCGGGCUUGCAUUCGAUACGGGCGGACUAGAGUUCGGUAGGGGAGACUGGAAUUCCUGGUGUAGCGGUGAAAUGCGCAGAUAUCAGGAGGAACACCGGUGGCGAAGGCGGGUCUCUGGGCCGAUACUGACGCUGAGACGCGAAAGCGUGGGGAGCGAACAGG